UGACUGGCUCAGCUGGCAGAGCAUGAGACUCUUCAUCUGAAGGUCAUGGGUUUGAGGCCCACAUUGCAGAAAAG
Non-coding RNA from Podarcis lilfordi (Lilford's wall lizard), 74 nucleotides. NCBI's taxonomy places the organism in Eukaryota, Metazoa, Chordata, Lepidosauria, Squamata, Lacertidae. The record is from the annotation of a GenBank genome assembly.